RNAcentral lists this ribosomal RNA (460 nucleotides) under uncultured bacterium. RNAcentral's name for it is "partial 16S ribosomal RNA". It matches the Rfam family "Bacterial small subunit ribosomal RNA", at positions 338 to 795 of the family's 1533-position model. The record is from RNAcentral.
CCUACGGGUGGCAGCAGUGAGGAAUAUUGGUCAAUGGACGAGAGUCUGAACCAGCCAAGCCGCGUGAAGGAUGACUGCCCUAUGGGUUGUAAACUUCUUUUAUAUGGGAAUAAAACAGGGUAUGCAUACCCUCUUGUAUGUACCAUAUGAAUAAGGAUCGGCUAACUCCGUGCCAGCAGCCGCGGUAAUACGGAGGAUCCGAGCGUUAUCCGGAUUUAUUGGGGUUAAAGGGCGCGUAGGUGGAUUGGUAAGUCAGUUGUGAAAGCUUGCGGCUCAACCGUAAAAUUGCAGUUGAAACUGGCAGUCUGGAGUACGGGAGAGGGGGGCGGAAUUCGUGGUGUAGCGGUGAAAUGCUUAGAUAUCGCGAAGAACUCCGAUUGCGAAGGCAGCUCACUGGACUGCAACUGACACUGAGGCACGAAAGUGUGGGUAUCAAACAGGAUUAGAUACCCGGGUAGUC